This 173-nucleotide ribosomal RNA is filed under the name uncultured bacterium. RNAcentral's name for it is "partial 16S ribosomal RNA". It matches the Rfam family "Bacterial small subunit ribosomal RNA", at positions 338 to 503 of the family's 1533-position model. The record is from RNAcentral.
CCUACGGGAGGCAGCAGUGGGGAAUAUUGGACAAUGGGCGCAAGCCUGAUCCAGCAAUGCCGCGUGUGUGAAGAAGGCCUUCGGGUUGUAAAGCACUUUUGUCCGGAAAGAAAUCCUGUGUUUUAAUACAGUGGGGGGAUGACGGUACCGGAAGAAUAAGCACGUUAUUUUUU